This 467-nucleotide ribosomal RNA is filed under the name uncultured bacterium. RNAcentral describes it as "partial 16S ribosomal RNA". It matches the Rfam family "Bacterial small subunit ribosomal RNA", at positions 28 to 506 of the family's 1533-position model. The record is from RNAcentral.
GACGAACGCUGGCGGCGGGCUUAACACAUGCAAGUCGAACGGAAAGGCCCUGCUUUUGUGGGGUGCUCGAGUGGCGAACGGGUGAGUAACACGUGAGUAACCUGCCCUUGACUUUGGGAUAACUUCAGGAAACUGGGGCUAAUACCGGAUAGGAGCUCCUGCUGCAUGGUGGGGGUUGGAAAGUUUCGGCGGUUGGUGAUGGACUCGCGGCCUAUCAGCUUGUUGGUGGGGUAGUGGCUUACCAAGGCUUUGACGGGUAGCCGGCCUGAGAGGGUGACCGGCCACAUUGGGACUGAGAUACGGCCCAGACUCCUACGGGAGGCAGGAGUGGGGAAUAUUGCACAAUGGGCGGAAGCCUGAUGCAGCAACGCCGGGUGCGGGAUGACGGCCUUCGGGUUGUAAACCGAUUUCGCCUGUGACGAAGCGUGAGUGACGGAAAUGGGUAAAGAAGCACCGGCUAACUACGU